Molecule: ribosomal RNA, 520 nt
Filed under: uncultured bacterium
Lineage: Bacteria
Description: bacterial SSU rRNA
Rfam family: Bacterial small subunit ribosomal RNA
Source: RNAcentral
CAGUCCACGCCGUAAACGAUGAGUGCUAAGUGUUGGAGGGUUUCCGCCCUUCAUUGCCGCAGCUAAUGUGUUAAGUACCCCGCCUGGGGAGUACGCUCGCAAGGGUAAAACUCAAAGGAAUUGACGGGGGAUCACACAAGCAGUGGAGCAUGUUGUUUAAUUCGAAGCAACGCGAAGAACCUUACCAGGCCUUGACAUGCAUGGAUUAGCUUCCUGAAAGGGAAGUGACGCCUCUUCGGAGGUGGAACAUGUGCAGGUGUUGCAUGGCUGUCGUCAGCUCGUGCCGUGAGGUGUUGGGUUAAGUCCCGUAACGAGCGAAACCCUUAUUGUUAGUUGCCAGCGGGUUAUGCCGGGGACUCUAGCGAGACUGCCGUUGUCAAACGGAGGAAGGUGGGGACGACGUCAAGUCAUCAUGGCCCUUAUGGCCUGGGCUACAAACGUGCUACAAUGGUCCGUACAAAGGGUUCCGAAGCCGCGAGGUGUAGGCAAUCCCAUCAAAGCGGGCCCCAGUUCGGAUUGC